RNAcentral lists this ribosomal RNA (203 nucleotides) under uncultured bacterium. Its description in RNAcentral is "partial 16S ribosomal RNA". It matches the Rfam family "Bacterial small subunit ribosomal RNA", at positions 572 to 774 of the family's 1533-position model. The record is from RNAcentral.
CAGGCGGCCAGGUCAGUCGAAUGUGAAAGCCCCCGGCUCAACUGGGGAAGGUCGUUCGAUACUGCCUGGCUCGAAGAUAGGAGAGGGAAGUGGAAUUUCAGGUGUAGUGGUGAAAUGCGUAGAUAUCUGAAGGAACACCAGUGGCGAAGGCGACUUUCUGGCCUAUUCUUGACGCUGAGGCGCGAAAGCUAGGGGAGCGAACG